CCUACGGGAGGCAGCAGUGGGGAAUAUUGGACAAUGGGGGCAACCCUGAUCCAGCCAUGCCGCGUGUGUGAAGAAGGCCCUCGGGUUGUAAAGCACUUUCAGUGAGGAAGAACGCCUGGUGGUUAAUACCCAUCAGGAAAGACAUCACUCACAGAAGAAGCACCGGCUAACUCCGUGCCAGCAGCCGCGGUAAUACGUAGGGUGCGAGCGUUAAUCGGAAUUACUGGGCGUAAAGCGCGCGUAGGUGGCUUGAUAAGCCGGUUGUGAAAGCCCCGGGCUCAACCUGGGAACGGCAUCCGGAACUGUCAAGCUAGAGUGCAGGAGAGGAAGGUAGAAUUCCCGGUGUAGCGGUGAAAUGCGUAGAGAUCGGGAGGAAUACCAGUGGCGAAGGCGGCCUUCUGGACUGACACUGACACUGAGGUGCGAAAGCGUGGGUAGCAAACAGGAUUAGAUACCCUGGUAGUC
RNAcentral lists this ribosomal RNA (465 nucleotides) under Vreelandella stevensii. RNAcentral's name for it is "partial 16S ribosomal RNA". It matches the Rfam family "Bacterial small subunit ribosomal RNA", at positions 338 to 795 of the family's 1533-position model. The record is from RNAcentral. Lineage: Bacteria; Pseudomonadati; Pseudomonadota; Gammaproteobacteria; Oceanospirillales; Halomonadaceae.